GAUGAACGCUGGCGGCGUGCCUAAUACAUGCAAGUCGAGCGAACAGAUGAGGAGCUUGCUCCUCUGACGUUAGCGGCGGACGGGUGAGUAACACGUGGAUAACCUACCUAUAAGACUGGGAUAACUUCGGGAAACCGGAGCUAAUACCGGAUAAUAUAUUGAACCGCAUGGUUCAAUAGUGAAAGACGGUUUUGCUGUCACUUAUAGAUGGAUCCGCGCCGCAUUAGCUAGUUGGUAAGGUAACGGCUUACCAAGGCAACGAUGCGUAGCCGACCUGAGAGGGUGAUCGGCCACACUGGAACUGAGACACGGUCCAGACUCCUACGGGAGGCAGCAGUAGGGAAUCUUCCGCAAUGGGCGAAAGCCUGACGGAGCAACGCCGCGUGAGUGAUGAAGGUCUUCGGAUCGUAAAACUCUGUUAUUAGGGAAGAACAAAUGUGUAAGUAAAUAUGCACGUCUUGACGGUACCUAAUCAGAAAGCCACGGCUAACUACGUG
RNAcentral lists this ribosomal RNA (497 nucleotides) under uncultured bacterium. Its description in RNAcentral is "partial 16S ribosomal RNA". It matches the Rfam family "Bacterial small subunit ribosomal RNA", at positions 28 to 507 of the family's 1533-position model. The record is from RNAcentral.